GCCGAGGUGGCGAAAUUGGUAGACGCAUAAGUUUCAGAAACUUAUGGAUUUUAUAAGUCCGUGUCGGUUCGAAUCCGGCCCUCGGCA
Molecule: transfer RNA, 87 nt
Filed under: Candidatus Parcubacteria bacterium
Lineage: Bacteria; Candidatus Parcubacteria
Also listed under: 1 other name
Description: tRNA-Leu
Rfam family: tRNA
About the family: Transfer RNA (tRNA) molecules are approximately 80 nucleotides in length. Their secondary structure includes four short double-helical elements and three loops (D, anti-codon, and T loops).
Source: RNAcentral